Molecule: non-coding RNA, 647 nt
Organism: Arachis ipaensis
Lineage: Eukaryota; Viridiplantae; Streptophyta; Magnoliopsida; Fabales; Fabaceae
Source: RefSeq, a predicted model, not a curated record
UCUCUAAUUUCUAACCCUAAAUUCCAAAAUUCCCAAAUUAACUCAUAAAACUCUAAUUCCCAAAAUUCCUAACUCUAACAGCCGCAACCUCACCCUCCUUCAACGUAACAAACAAAAGCAGCCACUGUAGAGAGAAGAGGAAUCGGGAGAAGAAGAGAGGAGAGGAAAGGCCUGCCCAGCCAUCACCACCGCAGCGCCGCUGCAGCUAUUGCCUCCUUCAGAGCUGCGGAAAGUCGUCCUCCUUGCCGUCGAAUGCCACCGUCGUGUCGCACAUGAGAGAGAGAGAGAGACAGAUUCGAGAGGAGCUACCCGUGAUCGCUGCCGUUGAAGCCAGGCUCGUCGCCGUCACCACCAACGAAGCUGCGAGGAGCCGCUGUCGUGCUCGUGUCGCUGUGCACCGUCGAGCUUCCCUCACCCUGAGCCGUCGAUCUGUCGCCACCGUUAUAAGGGCUUGUCGCUGGAGCCACGACUGUCACUGAGCUUCUGUCGCCGCUGCCGUUCAAGCCGCUGCUGCCGUCGAUUUGGAGUUGCUGCGAUUGGAGCCACUAGCGGGGGUCUUCCACCAUCACUGGAGCUGCCCAGAAUCAUCGUGGAAGCUGCCAAGAUAUAUGGUUGAUUUCUAAUUAUGCCAAGACAUCAUCACUAAU